GCCACAGAAAAGUGUUUUCGGUGUUUCAACCUGCAAUAGACAAAAAUGUAUUGCAUAUUCAACGAGUAGGGGCGUUUGUGAGACUCUGCGAACGCGUCAUAACUUUUAUACCCGCUACUCAGUCUGUAUGUAUGUAUGAGUGUAUGUAUAUUCGUAUGUAACCGUAUUGUCAUACAUACAUAAGUAUGUAUUUAACCUCGUGACUUAUUCGAAUAUCAGAGGGGCUUUGACUAGUGAAAAAGUGCGGGAAAAACUAAACAACUUUCAACUUUAGUUUUAGCUCGAUUUCAAAGUUUAAAUAAAAGUGAAAGUAUGGUAUUGUUUUGAGUUAUUUAAAUUAACUGCUAAUACAUGUUUUUUUUUAUAGUUGUGUGUAGUUAUUUAAUUGUCCAAUGUUUUGUUCGUUUUUAUUUUAGCUUGGUAAUAAAAUUUGCACUUUUGUUCUGUGGAAUAUUACUUUUGUUCAGCACACCACUUCACAAAGGUUCAAUUUAUAUGUGGUAGUGCAGUUGCGCAGAGUGUUUAUCAUAAUCUACUUUAGCACCACUCAGUGAAGGAGCGAACGCUCCCCCACAUUUUUGCCCCGUCCUCCUUUGUAUUAUAUUCUAUUAGUAGGCGAGACCAUCCCAGGAAUUCAUUCACUUAUUUAGUUUAGUAUAUUUAACUUCGUUUCUCUAGAUUUAAUGUCCGACGCCAUGAAGUCAUUUCUGUUAUUAUUGUAGGCUAAGUAUUUCUAUUUCCCUAGUUUUAAGCAUAGACACACCCCUGAACGGCGACACCGUUCAGAGAGAGGGCCGACAGCGAGCAACAAGAAACAAUAAGGAGGCCUUGUCGGUGGCAGAGUUACUCGCUGCUUUUUCUUGCAAUCAGUGCUCGUUUGCUUGUCGACACGAAAGGUUGGUUGCGGACAAAAUUUUUGUUCAAAUGAUUUAAAAAUUUUUAUUUUUUCAAAACACAGGCUACUUAUCAUGAAGCAAACUAUUCAAAAUUAAAUGAUGUAACAAUGCCUUCAAAUGGUUAAUCAGCACACUCCAUGUCGUUGCCCUCACACUUACAGCGAGAGCCCUUUUACUCGCUCUUUUCACUCGGCCGAAUUUAUUGCUUUAUGGGCCUCCUUAUAGUUUCUUUAUGGAUGGGGGCGAGAAGCUGCCGACGCUGACGCCGACGCCAAGGCAGCCGCAUGAAGAAACUAUAGGGAGGCCUCGUCGGCAACACUAAGCAGAAGAGGCGAGUGAAAAGACGUGCCAGCGGAAUAAAAAGUGCCAAGUUGAGAGUGCGUGAAGGGAAGCAGGAGAGAAGCAACGGGACCAGAGCCAGAAGCAACAGCAGUCAACGGGACCAGGACAGACGGCGAGUCAGCGAGGAAUUGCUACUCAUCACCCCUCCCGCCGGAGUUUAUGCAGGAACACACAUUGCUAACGGGACGCGGAAGCAGGGCGGUGCGUUAGGCAGGGUAAAAGUUGAAAAUAAAGAAUUUAGUUUGCAG
RNAcentral lists this long non-coding RNA (1486 nucleotides) under Drosophila guanche. Lineage: Eukaryota; Metazoa; Arthropoda; Insecta; Diptera; Drosophilidae. The record is from RNAcentral.